RNAcentral lists this ribosomal RNA (356 nucleotides) under Listeria monocytogenes. RNAcentral's name for it is "bacterial LSU rRNA". It matches the Rfam family "Bacterial large subunit ribosomal RNA", at positions 2089 to 2444 of the family's 2925-position model. The record is from RNAcentral. Lineage: Bacteria; Bacillati; Bacillota; Bacilli; Caryophanales; Listeriaceae.
CCCCGUGGAGCUUUACUGCAACCUGAUAUGGAAUGUUUGUACCGCUUGUACAGGAUAGGUAGGAGCCGAAGAGACGUGUGCGCUAGCAUACGAGGAGGCAAUGGUGGGAUACUACCCUGGCUGUAUGACCAUUCUAACCCGCCACGCUUAGCGCGUGGGGAGACAGUGUCAGGUGGGCAGUUUGACUGGGGCGGUCGCCUCCUAAAGAGGAACGGAGGCGCCCAAAGGGUCCCUCAGAAUGGAUGGAAAUCAUUCGCAGAGUGUAAAGGCACAAGGGAGCUUGACUGCGAGACUGACAAGUCGAGCAGGGACGAAAGUCGGGCUUAGUGAUCCGGUGGUUCCGCAUGGAAGGGCCA